Molecule: microRNA, 21 nt
Filed under: Macaca mulatta (Rhesus monkey)
Lineage: Eukaryota; Metazoa; Chordata; Mammalia; Primates; Cercopithecidae
Also listed under: 4 other names
Description: mml-miR-940
Gene: mml-miR-940
Source: miRBase by way of RNAcentral
AAGGCAGGGCCCCCGCUCCCC